RNAcentral lists this long non-coding RNA (202 nucleotides) under Elaeis guineensis (African oil palm). RNAcentral describes it as "long non-coding RNA (EGUI_LNC002428)". Lineage: Eukaryota; Viridiplantae; Streptophyta; Magnoliopsida; Arecales; Arecaceae. The record is from RNAcentral.
GAGGGAGAGAUCAUCUUAGCAGUUACCAUAGGAAAAGAACCCCCUCAGUCAACUAUACAGCUCAUCUUUCUGGUUGUUAAAAUAUUGUUAGCUUAUAAUGUUUUUCUUGGCCGACCUGGACUCAAUGCCCUCAAGGCUGUAGUUCCACUUAUCAUUUGUUAGUCCGAUUUCCAAAAAAGGAUGGAGUUGGAGAGAUGUGAGG